ACCCUGGCAUGGGAGGAGGUGAUGCUGUAACGAGGACCUGUGAUGUACGGUGCUGAUACAGUGUUGUUUCCAAACGGGGAGGGGGAGGGGAAGGAGGCUGGGAGAAUGAGAACCUGUGUGUGCAGGGCAGUAACGUGGGUGCAGGAAACAAAACAGUUCUAAUAAACUUCUGGACUUGGGCAAAGAGACCUCCAAGUGUCGAAAGCAUGAGCUGGCUGCCUUUUGCUGAGUAUUCUAAGCGGAUCGUAAGGGAACUGGGCUCAAAAAGACCUUCAGAGGGAACACAAUUUAAUUAAAUUUAACCUAUUCCAGAGCUUGCUAGGGUAGUAAGAUAAAAAGAAAAAUCUGUUUCUCAUCUCCAGCUUCUCCAGCUAGCGGAGUCCUAAGUUAAGUUACAGCCUGAGAGCAAAGACUAAAUCCAGAGCACAGCCAGUGAGCCCUGGCCUGAGGGUAAAGAGCAAAUCAAGGGUAAGGCAUACUGCAGUGCCUCAGACCAUCCUGGCUGGAAGAAGGGGCAUUAUAGAGGCUUAAGGGUAUUGGUCCACAGCAGCUGGACAUACCCCCAAUUCCAGUAAUUAGGUUGCAAGAGAGAGGCGUGUCUCAAAAAGAAUUGUGGGUGUGGCUUUUUGGCACAUAAAUCAAAUGCACAGAAAAUUCACAUCGUUUUUGGAGAGAGUUGUAUUGACAGAAGCUCUGCCAGCCUGGAUGAAAAGACACCAAGACAGUUUGAAAUGUAAAGACUUCUGUGCCCCCAUUUGCUAUAGGUACAUUUUCCAGUGCUCUCUUCAAGGGAAGGUGACAGAAGACGAAGGACGUCUCCGUGGCCUGGGGAGCCCCCCCCCAGCGGGCAGAGCCCGGGCUUCAUGCAGGAGCACGUCCCACCUCAGGGCAGGGGAACCUGGCAGCGUUUUCCAGGGAGCACUCAGCACAGCUAGGAGUCGGCAGCUGCUUUCUACCUCCCUGCCGCCUCUUUUUAGAGAACCUUUUUGUCACCCGUGUCUGCUGAGUGCGAGCGAGGCAGACGAUGGUGUUUAUGCCCUAGGCCUCGGGAUCAAAAAAGGCCAUAUAGACUUGACUGGCUCUUAAGAUCCUAGACUUCAAGCCCGAUGCCAUGACUGGGUGAGCCUUUGGGGCGGGCGGUUUCUGGACGGCACUGAGCGUGUUCCUGCACGGGGGAGGGACAUGAAUAAUUCCUGUGGCCACCAGGGCAAGCUGGGGAGAACACGCUGGUGCGCCCUUUGCUCCCUGCCACGUGAGUGGAGACGCCAUGGAUUCUCCCAUCUCUGGGCUUUGGCUUCCGCGGCGUGACCCUCCUUGGCUAAUGGGACGUUACCGGGCAGGAGGGGACCAGAGGUUUGCAAAGUCCUUGUGCAGUUGGAUCUGCCUUCCUGCACCUCUGCCGCCACCAUGAUAACAACACUCCUGGGCUCAUCCGUCAGUGUCAGGAGCGAGAGGAGCAGCGUGUGCAGCGGAGCUGACCUGCUCCAGCCCAGCCCAGUCUCGACCGGCCAGCCGGAUAAGCCCAUCGGCCCAGCGGGCACUGGGCCCUUGAGGUGUAGACAAGGUGGCCCGACAACAACCCGUCUUCCUGGAUUCUGAGCUCGAGCGAAGAUGCUGGAGUUGGAAUGAGGCUGGAGCGGAUGCGCUGAAGGCACCUCCAGGAGGAAAUCCAGGCUCGGGCGGCCUGGGAUCCUGCCCUCCCCAGGCCUGGCUUUUGACCACUUCCCUUCGUCCUAUGAGUAUCUUUUGCGUUAUCACAGUUUUCCAUUCAGUCAGUCAGAGUUUGUCUCUCUUGUUUGCGACCUAAGAACUGCGUCAUUUGGCUACAAAGGAGGACACUGGGGAGAGGACGCCUGUCCACGGUCAGACAGCGCGGGGCUCUUCCCUCUGCCACAUCCGCUGGGAAACCUCUGCGGCUGAAAAGCCACUGGCUCCUUACUCGGCCGAGCCCGCGGCUCAUCUCUGCAGACGGGAAGGGAGCUCAGGU
This is a long non-coding RNA of Hippopotamus amphibius kiboko, 1987 nucleotides long. RefSeq lists it as uncharacterized. Lineage: Eukaryota; Metazoa; Chordata; Mammalia; Artiodactyla; Hippopotamidae. The transcript is spliced from 3 exons. The record is from RefSeq and is a predicted model, not a curated record.